UCUCCGUAGGUGAACCUGCGGAGGGAUCAUUACAGAGUUCAUGCCCUACCGGGUAGAUCUCCCACCCUAUGUUAUUAUUACUUAGUUGCUUUGGCGGGCCGUUAGGCUCCGGCCCGACUACCGGCCCCGGCUGGUAAGCGCCCGCCAGAGGACCCAAAACCCUGAAUAUUAGUGUCGUCUGAGUACUAUAUAAUAGUAAAAACUUUCAACAACGGAUCUCUUGGUUCUG
Molecule: unclassified non-coding RNA, 229 nt
Filed under: plant metagenome
Description: partial contains small subunit ribosomal RNA, internal transcribed spacer 1, and 5.8S ribosomal RNA
Source: RNAcentral